UGAUGGCUCAGUGAGGCCUUCGGACUGGCUCAGGGGGGUUGGCAACGACCGCCCAGAGCCGGAAAGUUGGUCAAACUUGGUCAUUUAGAGGAAGUAAAAGUCGUAACAAGGUUUCCGUAGGUGAACCUGCGGAAGGAUCAUUACCGAGUGCGGGUCCUUCGGGGCCCAACCUCCCACCCGUGUCUACCGUACCGUGUUGCUUCGGCGGGCCCGCCGCAAGGCCGCCGGGGGGCGUCCCCCCGGCCCGUGCCCGCCGGAGACCCUGUGAACGCUGAUCUGUGAAGGCGUGUCGUCUGAGUCGCGUGAGAAAUCGUGAAAACUUUCAACAACGGAUCUCUUGGUUCCGGCAUCGAUGAAGAACGCAGCGAAAUGCGAUAAGUAAUGUGAAUUGCAGAAUUCCGUGAAUCAUCGAAUCUUUGAACGCACAUUGCGCCCUCUGGUAUUCCGGGGGGCAUGCCUGUCCGAGCGUCAUUGCUGCCCUCAAGCACGGCUUGUGUGUUGGGCCGCCGUCCCCGCCCUCCGCGGGGGGACGGGCCCGAAAGGCAGCGGCGGCGCCGCGUCCGGUCCUCGAGCGUAUGGGGCUCUGUCACCCGCUCUGCAGGCCCGGCCGGCGCCCGCCGAGUCAACCACUUCUUUCCAGGUUGACCUCGGAUCAGGUAGGGAUACCCGCUGAACUUAAGCAUAUCAAUAAGCGGAGGAAAAGAAACCAACAGGGAUUGCCCCAGUAACGGCGAGUGAAGCGGCAAGAGCUCAAAUUUGAAAUCUGGCCCCGUCGGGGUCCGAGUUGUAAUUUGCAGAGGAUGCUUCGGGUGCGGCCCCCGUCUAAGUGCCCUGGAACGGGCCGUCAUAGAGGGUGAGAUCCCGUCUGGGACGGGUGGCC
Molecule: ribosomal RNA, 880 nt
Filed under: Thermoascus crustaceus
Lineage: Eukaryota; Fungi; Ascomycota; Eurotiomycetes; Eurotiales; Thermoascaceae
Description: eukaryotic LSU rRNA
Rfam family: Eukaryotic large subunit ribosomal RNA (bases 643-880)
Source: RNAcentral